UCGCGGCUUAUCACCGGCAGUCCCCUUAGAGUGCCCAACUGAAUGAUGGCAACUAAGGGCGAGGGUUGCGCUCGUUGCGGGACUUAACCCAACAUCUCACGACACGAGCUGACGACAGCCAUGCAGCACCUGUGUAUGCUCCUCUUGCGAGGUCGUCAGGCUUUCACCCUUCUACUACAUACAUGUCAAGGCCAGGUAAGGUUCUUCGCGUUGCAUCGAAUUGAGCCACAUACUCCACCGCUUGUGCAGGCCCCCGUCAAUUUCUUUGAGUUUUAAUCUUGCGACCGUACUUCCCAGGCGGCACGUUUAACGCGUUGGCUACGCCACAAAAGGGGUCGAUUCCUUUUACAGCAAACGUGCACCGUUUACGGCUAAGACUAC
This 381-nucleotide unclassified non-coding RNA is filed under the name uncultured Verrucomicrobiae bacterium. RNAcentral describes it as "contains 16S-23S intergenic spacer region". Lineage: Bacteria; Pseudomonadati; Verrucomicrobiota; Verrucomicrobiia. The record is from RNAcentral.